Molecule: long non-coding RNA, 323 nt
Filed under: Dermacentor andersoni
Lineage: Eukaryota; Metazoa; Arthropoda; Arachnida; Ixodida; Ixodidae
Description: uncharacterized LOC126533713
Source: RNAcentral
AUUUUGCCGUGUGUCGGCUGGCGAUCCUUCAAAUCAAUGUCUCCUUUCUUGACGAAGCCGUGCGUGCCAUGCGUCGUGCAUAAGUGUUCCUCCUGCGUCUCCUUGGAUGUUGCCGGGUCUCCUGGAAAUUCAUCCACAGCUGGAAACCAAAAUUGUGCUUCAUCCCAGACCACAGCUUAUCUCCACAUCAAAGCCUCAUAUCACCAUUACAUCUCCAGUCUCACUCACGUUCGCUCUGAACAGAAAAAAAAAAAAAGAACAGUUGCUGCACUUCACAAGGCAAGAAUCCAUCUCAUCAUUUUCUCCUGGGGGGGGGGGGGGGG